This is a long non-coding RNA of Equus asinus (donkey), 2767 nucleotides long. The record is from Ensembl. Lineage: Eukaryota; Metazoa; Chordata; Mammalia; Perissodactyla; Equidae.
CUGGCCAGUCCGGGGGAGGGGAGGGAGGUCAUUGCCAGUUUCCAGUAUGGGUGGAGUCUAAUCUGAGGCUUGAAUGGAGAACUAGAAAUUAACCAAAUGGAGCAGGAGUAAACAAGGGGGUAUGUGUGUGUGACAAGGCUGAGUUCCACCUUGAGGGAGCACAUACACAUAGAAAACCAGGAGGAGGGAGGGUGCUUGGCAUUGUCCACGAGAGGACAGUUCAGUGUGACCAGUGCUUAAAGAGAUGGGUGGGGGUGGUGGGUAAGAAAUGAAGCUGGAGAGGAAAGCAGGGGCAGGGAGAGCCCCCGGGGACUUUACGCCUCAGUGUGAAGAAUUUGAGCUUUACCCUGUGGGCAACGGGGAGCCACAGGAGCUGUUUAAGCAGAGGGAAGGAUCAUCACCAUUCCAGUUUCAGAAAUGUCACUUUGAUGUGGUCUGUGCAAUAGCCUGGAAGAAGGCAGGACUACGAGUGAAGAUUCCAGCCAUGGUGUUUCAGCAGUCCAGGCUGCAAAUGAUGGCUGCCUGGAAGAGGACACGGGAAGAGGCAGAGCUGAGUGAAGGGAGUUUAGGAGGAGGCAGAGUGAAGAGGAGGGGUGGGAGUGGGAGCAGGGAGGAACCUGCGGUGGCUGCCAGUUUCAACAGGAGGCACACCCAGAAGGGUGGGAACUCUAUCUACUCCUAGCACUUGUUCCGGGGUGGUGCCCACCCUCAGGCUCCCGGCCGCCAACUGAGUUCACUAAAAGCCCCUGCCCUCCCAUCAACCUUGUGGCCCACUGGUUGGCAGUGGCAAACCAGUUCCACCAACAUUUACUAAGCAGCUGUUAUGUGUCAGGAACCAGGGGGGCUUCUCCCUGCCUCACCUAGGGGAGUUUCAACCAGAUGACUGAGAGGUUCCAGAGCAGGGAGGGGAGGCUGAGGGUCGGCAGAGAGAAGGGAAAUGCUGUGGACACAUAGCCUCUGUUCAGGCCCUCUCUCUUCCCCCAGCACCGGAGGAACCUCACCCCUGACCUCUCACCCCCAUGACAGGAAAGGUACAAGGGACAUCUGCAGGGCCUUAGACAAAGCCCCUGGGCCCCCACCUCUACUGGAACAGGCAGCCACCCUGGUCUCUUUCCAUUCUGCAAGUUCUGUGCUCCCUCUGCUGUGAGAUCUAGGAUGAAGGGGGAGAGCUGCCUGCAUGCUGACCCACAGGACUUGCCACCUGCAUCCAAGAGAUUCACUCCAUGGAAUUGAGGCGUUUUCCCAGAGGCUCUCGUGCACAGGGAGACAGAACUCACCACUGUCUGGGGAAUAUAAUUUCUUACCAGUUCACUAUCGCAGGAGUGCAGGUGAAUUAUAGGAUUGCUGUCCUCUGAGCCUAGAAGAGAGGCCUGCUUUAUAGAAAGGUCAUAUGCCACCUUCUUGAUGACUACAUGGUCACUUAGCCUUGCUCCCUGGACACCCUGCUCCCUGCCAGCUCCUACUCCCUGGAGAAGUCACUUCCCAGAAGGAUGCUGUUCUCUUGGUUAUUUGGCUGGACCGGGCUGCUGAGGGGAAGGUCUGCUGGGGAAAAGUCUGGACAAAGACAGAAGGAUCAACUGGAGCCCUAACGAGACUGGGCUCAGAACAGCAGAGGAGAAAUUUUAGUCGCACAUUGAGGACUGGAGAAGAGAAAGCUUGUGCUCUACAGACAGCUUCUCCUUGAAGAUGAGGAAAUGGAGAACAAGGAGGAGGAGCCACGGGAUCAUCAGGACUCUGGAAAAGGGGCAGAGACUUCCAGGAACAGUUGGUACAUGCGCAGUUCUCCAAACUCCUGUGCACAUGGCGCCAAGGUGCCUAGCAAGGUACAAUAAACUCUGUGCUACAGAAGAUCCCAAGCCACCAAUGCCUCUUGGAGCUCUCUCAUCCAGAGGCUCCCCAUCAUGAUGAACAUCAUCAUCUAUACAGGAAAGAGCCUCUCCAUCUCCCUCUCCCAAAGGGAACUCCAAGAAGCCUCAAAGAGCUUUCCUAAUUCUCCAGUCAAGUCACUCUGAGCUGGCUUCUUCUUCCCAGAGGGAAAGUUGAGGAGGCCUCUAGCGUGUGAAGUGGGGAGAAAAAUGAACAUCUGAGUUGGUAGGACUAGAGAGGAAAAGUGACAUAGCCAAGAUCACACAGCUUGGCUGCAGCUGAGCUACAGAGCAGAGAGGGGGCGGCAAGAAGAUGCUGAAUCGAUUUCCCCAGUCUUUGAGUCUGGCCUUCUCUUGUGACUUGCUUUGAGCAGCAGAAUGUGGCAGAAGGGCUACUGCAUGAGUUCCAGAGCUGGGGUCUCUAGACCCCUGCAGCUUCUGCUUUUCAUCAGAAUACAGCCGGCAGACCACAGAAGAAGGCAGCAAGUCCAGCCUCCUGGAGGUUAAUUUGCAGGCCCUCAUUCACUGGACCCAAGUUGGGAGAGGAAGAGUUUUCCUCCCAAUAGAGGCUAUGUGGAAAAGAAUAGAGAAGCCCCAACAUAUAGCCAGUCCCAAGACUCUAGAAGAAGUCUGGGUGAGGCUAUCUUGGAUCUUCCAGCCCAGCUAAGCCCAGUCAGCAGCUGAAUGUAUCUACAUGAGAGCCCAGGCAAGACCAGCAGAACUGCCCAAUCAAUCCAAAGAAUUGUGAGAGAUAAUAAAUAUUUGUUGUUUUAAACCACUAAGUUUUGGGGUGAUUUGUUAUAUAGCACUAGGUAACUAAUAAACUCAGAGUUUCCAUUUCCUACACACUCUGUACUUUUCUCGUUCUGUUUCCUGCUUGGAACGCUCCCAUCAUGGCCCUA